Molecule: small RNA, 677 nt
Filed under: Arabidopsis thaliana (thale cress)
Lineage: Eukaryota; Viridiplantae; Streptophyta; Magnoliopsida; Brassicales; Brassicaceae
Description: ATSL035780
Source: RNAcentral
UUAAAAGCAGUAAAUAGCUUUAUUAGUGUUUCUAUGGUAAAAAUGUGUCACAAUCCAAAGCCUUUAACUAAUUAUAAGAGUUAGAGAUCGAUUAGGAGUGUUUAGACAAUACUUAUACCCAUUUUCUCCCAAAAGAGGCUAAAACCAACAAAACAUUGCUUAGAAGCAGUAAAUAGCUUUGUUAGUGUUUUUAUGGUCAAAAUGUGUAAGAAUCCAAUGCAUUUGACUAAUUAUAAGAGUUAGAGAUGGAAUAGGAGUGGUUAGACAAUACUUAUACCCAUUUUCUCCCAAAAGAGGCUAAAACCAACAAAACAUUGCUUAGAAGCAGUAAAUAGCUUUGUUAGUGUUUCUAUGGUAAAAAUGUGUCACAAUCCAAAGCCUUUGACUAAGUAUAAGAGUUAGAGAUGGAUUAGGAAUGUUUAGAAAACACUUAUACCCAUUUUCUCCCAAAAGAGGCUAAAACCAACAAAAUUUGCUUAGAAGCAGUAAAUAGCUUUGUUUGUGUUUCUAUGGUCAAAAUGUGUUACAAUCCAAUGCAUUUGACUACUGAUAAGAGUUUGGGAUGGAUUAGGAGUGUUUAGACAACACUUAUACCCAUUUUUUCCCAAAAGAGGCUAAUACCAACAAAAAAAUUGCUUAGAAACAGUUAACAGUUUUGAUAGUGUUUUUAUGGCAAA